This 484-nucleotide ribosomal RNA is filed under the name uncultured bacterium. Its description in RNAcentral is "partial 16S ribosomal RNA". It matches the Rfam family "Bacterial small subunit ribosomal RNA", at positions 28 to 523 of the family's 1533-position model. The record is from RNAcentral.
GAUGAACGCUGGCGGCGUGCUUAACACAUGCAAGUCGAACGAGAACGGAUUAUAGCUUGCUAUAAUUGUCAGCUAAGUGGCGCACGGGUGAGUAAUGUAUAGGUAAUAUGCCUCUUACUAAGGGAUAACAAAUGGAAACGUUUGCUAAUACCUUAUACUCCUUAUUAACAGAAGUUAAUAAGGGAAAGAUUUAUUGGUAAGAGAUUAGCCUGUAUUGUAUCAGUUAGUUGGUGGGGUAAUGGCUUACCAAGACUAUGACACAUAACUGGUUUGAGAGGAUGAUCAGUCACACUGGAACUGAGACACGGUCCAGACUCCUGCGGGAGGCAGCAGUGGGGAAUAUUGCACAAUGGACGAAAGUCUGAUGCAGCAUCGCCGCGUGGAGGAUGACACAUUUCGGUGCGUAAACUCCUUUUAUAUGAGAAGAUAAUGACGGUAUUAUAUGAAUAAGCACCGGCUAACUCCGUGCCAGCCGCCGCAGUAA